This 465-nucleotide ribosomal RNA is filed under the name uncultured bacterium. RNAcentral's name for it is "partial 16S ribosomal RNA". It matches the Rfam family "Bacterial small subunit ribosomal RNA", at positions 28 to 507 of the family's 1533-position model. The record is from RNAcentral.
GACGAACGCUGGCGGCGUGCUUAACACAUGCAAGUCGAACGGAAAGGCCCUGCUUGCAGGGUACUCGAGUGGCGAACGGGUGAGUAACACGUGGGUGAUCUGCCCUGCACUUCGGGAUAAGCCUGGGAAACUGGGUCUAAUACCGGAUAGGAGCCAUUUUUAGUGUGAUGGUUGGAAAGUUUUUUCGGUGUAGGAUGAGCUCGCGGCCUAUCAGCUUGUUGGUGGGGUAAUGGCCUACCAAGGCGGCGACGGGUAGCCGGCCUGAGAGGGUGGACGGCCACAUUGGGACUGAGAUACGGCCCAGACUCCGACGGGAGGCAGCAGGGGGGAAUAUUGCACAAUGGGCGCAAGCCUGAUGCAGCGACGCCGCGUGGGGGAUGACGGCCUUCGGGUUGUAAACGCCUUUCGCUAGGGACGAAGCUUUUUGUGACGGUACCUAGAGAAGAAGCACCGGCUAACUACGUG